AUGCACACAAUCCACCCAUUAGAACACAACAAGAGCUAAAUUCAGGGUAUUUGUGAGCUGUUUGAUUGUGAAAAAUUGAAAGACUAUUUGACAGCGCGAGACUGUCUAAGGGCAGAAUAACAUCGAUCUCUCGAGCUCCAGAGGACGCUGAUUCUGGCAAGAACGAACAAAUCAAGAACAAGGUUAUUUCAAAAUACAUAAGCGAAUAUAAACGAAAACAGCCACGUGAAUAUAAACUGUUGAGAAAUAAAUCUGAAGUGGAUCAUGAUACUGGAUUUGAAUAUUAAAGUGACUGCAUUUACCAGCUGCUUUCUGUCUUCAAUUUUUAAUCUAUAAAAAAACAGAAAAAUCAUUCUUCUUGGCUGCUUUUUUUUUUUUUGUAUGUAUGUAUUCAUGUAUUUAUUAUUAUUAUUAUUAUUAUUAUUAUUAUUUUGCUCUAACAAAAAUUUAUCUAUAUUUAACUAAAUCGAUGACGUUAUUUUACAUUUGAUUUCUGCAUCCAAACACUUAUAAACUUAAAACAUGCACUAUUAAACUAUUGUUAGCAAUUUCUUUAUCGUCCAAUUUAACUGGUGUACACACUUUUAUUUUCAUAAUAAAUUAGUUUUUUAGAUUAUAGACAGUUACAGUGGUCUAUAAUAAAUAUUAACAGGUUUUGUUCAAGCUGCUUAAAAUGUUUGAAGUAGGCUAAUUUUUUUAAAUGUAAAUCCUAAAAAAAAUAAAAUAAAUAAAAAUAAAUAAAACAAACAAAACAAAAAAAAAUGUAGCAACUCAUAGUAAUCAUUCAACACUGCUUAAAAAUGUAAAUUGAAAAUUAAACUCAUGAUUAAGCAUGAAAUAAGAUACAGAAUCAGUAAAUAAGAUUUUAAUGUGGGUAUAUUAUCAAUAAACUAAUCAUUAAAUAUUUAUAAUCAUUCAAAAAAUAUUGGCCCCUUUCAUCAUGUU
Long non-coding RNA from Cyprinus carpio carpio, 945 nucleotides. NCBI's taxonomy places the organism in Eukaryota, Metazoa, Chordata, Actinopteri, Cypriniformes, Cyprinidae. The record is from Ensembl.